RNAcentral lists this ribosomal RNA (638 nucleotides) under Escherichia coli. RNAcentral's name for it is "partial 23S ribosomal RNA". It matches the Rfam family "Bacterial large subunit ribosomal RNA", at positions 552 to 1191 of the family's 2925-position model. Lineage: Bacteria; Pseudomonadati; Pseudomonadota; Gammaproteobacteria; Enterobacterales; Enterobacteriaceae. The record is from RNAcentral.
GAAACCGUGUACGUACAAGCAGUGGGAGCCUCUUUUAUGGGGUGACUGCGUACCUUUUGUAUAAUGGGUCAGCGACUUAUAUUCUGUAGCAAGGUUAACCGAAUAGGGGAGCCGAAGGGAAACCGAGUCUUAACUGGGCGUUAAGUUGCAGGGUAUAGACCCGAAACCCGGUGAUCUAGCCAUGGGCAGGUUGAAGGUUGGGUAACACUAACUGGAGGACCGAACCGACUAAUGUUGAAAAAUUAGCGGAUGACUUGUGGCUGGGGGUGAAAGGCCAAUCAAACCGGGAGAUAGCUGGUUCUCCCCGAAAGCUAUUUAGGUAGCGCCUCGUGAAUUCAUCUCCGGGGGUAGAGCACUGUUUCGGCAAGGGGGUCAUCCCGACUUACCAACCCGAUGCAAACUGCGAAUACCGGAGAAUGUUAUCACGGGAGACACACGGCGGGUGCUAACGUCCGUCGUGAAGAGGGAAACAACCCAGACCGCCAGCUAAGGUCCCAAAGUCAUGGUUAAGUGGGAAACGAUGUGGGAAGGCCCAGACAGCCAGGAUGUUGGCUUAGAAGCAGCCAUCAUUUAAAGAAAGCGUAAUAGCUCACUGGUCGAGUCGGCCUGCGCGGAAGAUGUAACGGGGCUAAACCAUG